Molecule: non-coding RNA, 72 nt
Organism: Angiostrongylus costaricensis
Lineage: Eukaryota; Metazoa; Nematoda; Chromadorea; Rhabditida; Metastrongylidae
Source: Rfam
GCCUCAUUGGCUCAGGGGCAGAGCGUCUGUCUUUUAAACAGAAGGUCGCUGGUUCGAUUCCAGCAUGAGGCA